This 553-nucleotide ribosomal RNA is filed under the name Thalamita granosimana. Its description in RNAcentral is "partial 16S ribosomal RNA". It matches the Rfam family "Bacterial large subunit ribosomal RNA", at positions 1954 to 2727 of the family's 2925-position model. Lineage: Eukaryota; Metazoa; Arthropoda; Malacostraca; Decapoda; Portunidae. The record is from RNAcentral.
AGGUAGCAUAAUCAUUAGUUUUUUAAUUGGAAACUUGUAUGAAUGGUUGGACAAGGAAGAGACUGUCUCUUUUAUUAAAGUUGAAUCUAACUUCUAAGUGAAAAGGCUUAGAUUUUCUAGGGGGACGAUAAGACCCUAUAAAGCUUUAUAAGUUCAAGAAUUUUACAUAUUUUUUUAUAAAAGUAAACUUCCAAAGAUUUAUUUGAUUGGGGCGAUAAUAGUAUAAUGAGAGUAACUGCUUUUAGGUAAAACAAAAAUUUUUGAGUUAUGAUUAAUUGAUCCUUUUUAAAGAUUUUAAGAUCAAGUUACUUUAGGGAUAACAGCGUUAUUUUUCCUGAGAGUCCUUAUCAAAGGAAAAGUUUGCGACCUCGAUGUUGAAUUAAAAUGUCUAUAUAGUGCAGCAGCUAUAAAAGAAGGUCUGUUCGACCUUUAAUAUUUUACAUGAUUUGAGUUCAGACCGGCGGGAGCCAGGUCGGUUUCUAUCUCUUGGAAAGUAAAAGAUCAUUUUAGUACGAAAGGAUUGAAUGAUUAAAAAUUUUUUAAUAAUUGAAAU